AUGGUGAGUGCAGUCCUAAGGAUGAUGGGAAAUGUUUCUGUGUCGACUCUGACUCGUCCGAAAGAAAUCCUGAAGGAGACGAAGAAAACCAUCUACAGCAAACCUCCCCGAAACAAGAUCAGCGCUGCGCAAAGUUUCUUCGUCAUGUCUGUGUUCACGGUGGCCAUGUUGACCCCAGCUGCCUGGAUUCUUCAUCACCUGCCGGAGUACCGCCAGAGGGCCCGCCAGAGACCCAAAACCUGAACAUCAUCAUCUUCAUCAUCUUUUCAUUUUGUCAUGAAUAGAAGUUGUUUUAAAAUCUGCAGGUUUCAAUAUUAAAGUGUGAACACAGUUUUAAUGCGACCGAAGCUUCUGCACACAUCGUCUCACCUGAACAGAGCUGUCACUUCAAAAUAAAAGCUUCCUGGCUCUCUUGUCGUGGUCUUUCAUUGUGUCUUUCUAACCUGUUGAACUGGAUGUUGGAUCGUCUCUUCUUCUUCUCACUGUGGUACAAACAGGAAGUGAAGAUAAAAAUAAAGCUCCAGCCUGUGUGUUUGUGUUUGAGCAGGAAGUCUCUGUUUGUUUAGUUUACUCGGCUGGAUUUUCAGAGUUAAUCACUUCCUGUUUGACUACAUCAGUUCCCACAGAGAGUCUGAGCUCACAGGAAGACAGACGUCUUCAUCGUGUUUAAAGAAAAUCUUCAUCAGUUUCCAUCCUGGACCAGAAGUGAGGGGACAUGUUCAUCAUCAUCAUCAUCAUCAUCAUCAUCAUCAUUAUCUUCAUGUCAUAAUGAAAUUGUUUGUGUUCAGGAAAAAAAGGUAAAUCUCAAAUUUUCGUAUUUAACUUAAAAUACACUCUGGUUGUUAUUGUUAUUCAGUAAUUUGGAUGUCUUUUUCAGAUUUUCAACCUGUGACUGGAGACACCGGCCAAUCACAGUUCAUGUCAGAGAGGGCAGUUCCCAUUGGCUGUUCCACAUCAGGUGACUCUUAACAGAAACUCAAACUGUUUCACAUCUUUGAAAAUUAUAUAAAACAUAGAAAGUGUGUGAACAGACACACAGCUGCACACUCAUCAUGUAUGAUGUCAUCAAGUGUGUGUGUGUGUGUGUGUGUUUGACCUUCGUGGUCAUUUGUCCUUGAGUCUAAAUUCUUCUAAAAUAAUAAUCAUUAUCACACGGCUCUUCUUAAUGCUGUAGAAUGCUCCAUUCACUUGAAUGAGCCUUCCCAACGUUUGGCGGUCAAUUAUUUUCGUAUAAUUGAGCGUUGCUAAGCAUAUUUGACCGUCGUCAAGGAAAGUGGCCUUUUUGCCUCUGAUUCAUGUAUUUCGUAAAAUCUUUGCUCUGCAAGUAGUCCGGUCACUUUUCACCCCAGCGUCUUCAGUCGCUAAGCGUCAGCUGAUCUGUAGUCUACUUCACAUUAACUUUAAUAUUUUUGGAAAAUACGGUGAUUUCAACUCUUGCAAAAGGCUGAGUUGUCGUCACCGGUCAAGAAAAGAAAAAGAGAGGAAAGCAGCGAAGAGGGAGAAGAGAAAUGGCGUCUGUUUGGCGAACUAUAUUUCUCUGCUGAAAAACACUAUGAACAAAUAAACUGUAAAAAGACACUGUGUCAAGUUUUCUUGUGUGUUGGCAAGUAACCGUGUAAUAAGCGGGAUGAUGUGUAGAACAGCGGUCACUAUCGGGAAAAUAUUUGUGAUCCGGACCCCGACAUAAUCAAUGAAGUCAUCGUCAGACAAACACUAACAGAUUGAUCUGUUUAAUUUCUGAGUGAUUAUUAACUAAGUCACACCUCAUAAACAGACGGACCUGGUUCUGCAGCUCCUCAUGUACAGAGUCCUCGCUGCAGCGGACCAGCUGCAGGCCGCCCUGGUCGUCCCCCCUUUCAAUGCUGUCCUAUUAAUAAAGCCAUAACAGGCCAAAAUAAAAAGUAAAAUAAAAAAAGACAAACCAAAGAGACGUGUCACCUCAAACAUCACCUUUUAAUUCACAUCAAACAACGAACACGACGACACAGCUGAAAAACAUGGAGGUCAUAUAGAGGUCAUGUGACUCAGUUUCUACCGAACACUGGAUAUAAAUCUUUGCUUAUCUUCUCCAGAUAUUUGAAUUAUACAUGCAUCAUACAUCUGUUAUACAUGCACACACACACUCACACAGACAAGGCUCUCCAAAUCCCAGCUAAUCCACUGACAGCCAAAUCUCAGUUCACUAAUCAAUUUAGUAGUAUCCAUGCUUACAAGUGGGAAAAAGAAAGUUACAGGAAUAUCAAUUUAUAUGAUAAAUAUAUAAGAUACAACAACAAAUAAGAAUGAAAAAGUGAGUGAGAAAUGAGAAGAAAAUAAGAUAAUGAAAAUAAUAAUAGUAAUAAUAAUAAUAAUAAUAAUAAUAAUAAUGAUAAAAAUAAAUGAAUAAGAGUAAGAACAAACACAAAAUAACACGAACAAGGAGUUUGCAAAUGGGUUAGAAGUGAUGCUUUGAAACCAUGAAGUGAAGUAGUAGACCUAAGCUGGCAUGGGAGAUUAUUCCAAUCAGACGGAGCUUUGAACUGGAAUGAACGGCGACCAAAUUCUUUAAAUAUUCUAGGAGUGCGGAAAAAGAGGUGGUCAGUAUGUCUUAGGUUGUAUUAGAUAUCUUUUGUCUUUCAUCAGGAACGCUUUAAAUUGUAAUUUUUAUUGUAUGUUCUCUUCAGCAGCUGAUAGUUUGACUCUCAUUUCACUCUGUAAAUCACAGAGUUGUUGUUCCAUCCUGUCUUUGUCUUCUUUCCUCAGAUGGUCCUGAAAACCAGAAAACAGAUAAAUAAUCAGUUUCUUUUUUAUAUACAAACAUACAUGAAUACAUAUAUACAUAUACAUGUAUAUAUAUAUGAUCUGAAGAUUGUAUGACAGAGCAGGUGAUUUGAG
This is a long non-coding RNA of Sparus aurata (gilthead seabream), 2874 nucleotides long. The record is from Ensembl. Lineage: Eukaryota; Metazoa; Chordata; Actinopteri; Spariformes; Sparidae.